This 509-nucleotide ribosomal RNA is filed under the name uncultured bacterium. Its description in RNAcentral is "bacterial SSU rRNA". It matches the Rfam family "Bacterial small subunit ribosomal RNA", at positions 36 to 518 of the family's 1533-position model. The record is from RNAcentral.
CUGGCGGCGUGCCUAAUACAUGCAAGUCGAACGGUCUUUCUAUGGAAGCUUGCUUCCACUGAGAAGAUAGUGGCGAACGGGUGAGUAACACGUGGGUAACCUGCCCAUAAGAGGGGGAUAACAUCCGGAAACGGGUGCUAAUACCGCAUAGUUUUCUUGAUCGCAUGAUUGAGAAAGGAAAGACGGCCUUUGUGCUGUCGCUUAUGGAUGGACCCGCGGCGUAUUAGUUAGUUGGUGAGGUAACGGCUCACCAAGACGAUGAUACGUAGCCGACCUGAGAGGGUGAUCGGCCACAUUGGGACUGAGACACGGCCCAAACUCCUACGGGAGGCAGCAGUAGGGAAUCUUCCGCAAUGGACGAAAGUCUGACGGAGCAACGCCGCGUGAGUGAAGAAGGUUUUCGGAAUCGUAAAACUCUGUUGUCAGAGAAGAACAAGUUGGAGAGUAACUGCUCCAGCCUUGACGGUAUCUGACCAGAAAGCCACGGCUAACUACGUGCCAGCAGCUGC